RNAcentral lists this ribosomal RNA (253 nucleotides) under uncultured bacterium. RNAcentral's name for it is "partial 16S ribosomal RNA". It matches the Rfam family "Bacterial small subunit ribosomal RNA", at positions 524 to 776 of the family's 1533-position model. The record is from RNAcentral.
UACGGAGGGGGCGAGCGUUAUUCGGAAUUAUUGGGCGUAAAGGGCGCGUAGGCGGCCUUGCAAGUCAGAGGUGAAAUCCCUCGGCUCAACUGAGGAACUGCCUUUGAAACUGCAAGGCUUGAGGCCGGGAGGGGGUAGCGGAAUUCCCAGUGUAGCGGUGAAAUGCGUAGAUAUUGGGAGGAACACCAGUGGCGAAGGCGGCUACCUGGACCGGUUCUGACGCUGAUGCGCGAAAGCGUGGGUAGCAAACAGG